This 245-nucleotide ribosomal RNA is filed under the name uncultured bacterium. RNAcentral's name for it is "partial 16S ribosomal RNA". It matches the Rfam family "Bacterial small subunit ribosomal RNA", at positions 528 to 772 of the family's 1533-position model. The record is from RNAcentral.
UAGGGAGCAAGCGUUAUCCGGAUUUAUUGGGUGUAAAGGGUGCGUAGACGGGAAAUUAAGUUAGUUGUGAAAUCCCUCGGCUCAACUGAGGAACUGCAACUAAAACUGGUUUUCUUGAGUGCAGGAGAGGUAAGUGGAAUUCCUAGUGUAGCGGUGAAAUGCGUAGAUAUUAGGAGGAACACCAGUGGCGAAGGCGACUUACUGGACUGUAACUGACGUUGAGGCACGAAAGUGUGGGGAGCAAA